This 253-nucleotide ribosomal RNA is filed under the name uncultured bacterium. Its description in RNAcentral is "partial 16S ribosomal RNA". It matches the Rfam family "Bacterial small subunit ribosomal RNA", at positions 524 to 776 of the family's 1533-position model. The record is from RNAcentral.
UACAGAGGGUGCUAGCGUUGUUCGGAUUCAUUGGGCGUAAAGGGUGCGUAGGUGGCGCGCUAAGUCAGGUGUGAAAUUUCGGAGCUUAACUCCGAAACUGCAUUUGAUACUGGCGUGCUUGAGGACUGGAGAGGAGACUGGAAUUCAUGGUGUAGCAGUGAAAUGCGUAGAGAUCAUGAGGAAGACCAGUGGCGAAGGCGGGUCUCUGGACAGUUCCUGACACUGAGGCACGAAGGCCAGGGGAGCAAACGGG